Molecule: ribosomal RNA, 86 nt
Filed under: Boana albopunctata (spotted treefrog)
Lineage: Eukaryota; Metazoa; Chordata; Amphibia; Anura; Hylidae
Description: partial 16S ribosomal RNA
Source: RNAcentral
GGCCAAUGAUCAAUUAAGCCAUAUAAAUUACUCAUGUUUUCAACUCAAUUAGAAACAAACCUACCAUAAACCUCAAAAAAAGAGAA